Molecule: unclassified non-coding RNA, 200 nt
Filed under: Auriculariales sp.
Lineage: Eukaryota; Fungi; Basidiomycota; Agaricomycetes; Auriculariales
Description: partial internal transcribed spacer 2
Source: RNAcentral
UUAAGUUCAGCGGGUAGUCCUACCUGAUUUCAGGCCAAAGUUUAAAAGUUGUCCAUUCGGACGAUUAGAAGCAGCACUUCCGAAGAGGCAUAAGGCGACGGCGCAGAUAAUUAUCACACCAAUGCCAAGCACUCUAAUAAGCGCAAGCUAAUGCAUUUCAGGACGAGCCAACUACGGCACAGUCCAAAUCCACAGCUUGC